CAGAAUGAAACGGAGCUGCUGAACGGGAGCCUCGUCGUCGGCGACCUCAAGCAUAGAAUUUUAUCGGGAGCUGUUUCUUCGGCCAAAAUGGCAACUUUUUCAGCUACUGCUUUUGAACGUUAUGGGCCUACUUUGUCGGUGUCUCUUGCAGAGUUUUAGUGUCCAUUUUAGGACUGUUUUAAGUUGAAAUUGGGAUGUUUUUGGGUGUUUUAAAAUGGAGGAUUUCAGCUGGAGUUUGGAACUAAAAUGAUGGCUUUUUAGGUGGUAUCAAUGGCUUAAAGAGUAACGGAUUUGGACGGUUGCUGCCUUCUCUUGUGUGUGAGUAAUGAAGCUUUUUCUUUGUUUGGAUGAG
Molecule: long non-coding RNA, 352 nt
Filed under: Nicotiana benthamiana
Lineage: Eukaryota; Viridiplantae; Streptophyta; Magnoliopsida; Solanales; Solanaceae
Description: long non-coding RNA (NBEN_LNC039398)
Source: RNAcentral